AUUGAACGCUGGCGGCAGGCCUAACACAUGCAAGUCGAACGGUAACAGGAAGCAGCUUGCUGCUUUGCUGACGAGUGGCGGACGGGUGAGUAAUGUCUGGGAAACUGCCUGAUGGAGGGGGAUAACUACUGGAAACGGUAGCUAAUACCGCAUAACGUCGCAAGACCAAAGAGGGGGACCUUCGGGCCUCUUGCUAUCGGAUGUGCCCAGAUGGGAUUAGCUUGUUGGUGGGGUAACGGCUCACCAAGGCGACGAUCCCUAGCUGGUCUGAGAGGAUGACCAGCCACACUGGAACUGAGACACGGUCCAGACUCCUACGGGAGGCAGCAGUGGGGAAUAUUGCACAAUGGGCGCAAGCCUGAUGCAGCCAUGCCGCGUGUAUGAAGAAGGCCUUCGGGUUGUAAAGUACUUUCAGCGGGGAGGAAGGGAGUAAAGUUAAUACCUUUACUCAUUGACGUUACCCGCAGAAGAAGCACCGGCUAACUCCGUG
RNAcentral lists this ribosomal RNA (490 nucleotides) under uncultured bacterium. RNAcentral describes it as "partial 16S ribosomal RNA". It matches the Rfam family "Bacterial small subunit ribosomal RNA", at positions 30 to 507 of the family's 1533-position model. The record is from RNAcentral.